CAUAUCUUCAUGGAAACCUUAAUCCCUAUUGCAUUUUGUGGUUUGCUUGAAAAUAUCUGGAAAUCCAUCACAGAGAUAAGUUUGUUCUUCAAAGACUUAUGUUCUACCCUUCAUCUGCUCCAUUUGCUUCAUCACCAGCUGGAUCGCAUCCAUCUAGAUUUCAGCUAACCGGAUCGCAGCAGUGGUCUAGAUCGCAUCAAGGGUCUAUAUCGCAGCAAGGUUUUGGAUCACAAUCAUCUUCAUCAGCGACCCCGUCUCCCUCUCUACAGAGUUCGUCUCCUAGCAUUUCUAGACUUCGCCUUCGGGAUAGUAUCAAUGAGACAGAUGCCCCCUUCUACGCACGCUUCAGAUUCAUCGGAGGAUGAUGAUCCGGAGGAAUUGCAGUGUGAUUGUUAUCAUAGGAUGAUCAUCAGGCCUGAGGGCAAUGAGUUCAUACCUAAUCAUCGGACUACAAAGAUAAUCACUGAAGCUUUUGGCCGGUUGUAUGAUGCACUCUAUGCGACUUGGAGUGACUUUCUACCGGAGCUCGUGGAGCAAAUUUUUAACAAAUUUAAGAUUAAGUGUUCCCGGGAGGACCGACAUAACAGUGAAAUUUGUGCAAAUUUUGUGUUCAAAUGCCGUAAGAGACUAUCUGAUUCCUUCUGCUCUGCUCGAAAGAAGAGCAAUAAGUCUUCAUGGGUUCUACCGUAUUUAUGGGAGGAUCAACCGAGGCAGUGGACCACCGAUAAAUCCGAGAAGAGAAGUGAAUAGGGAAAGAAGGCCCGAGCAUCUGAGAAGGAUGGCUCCUUACAUUGUGUGGUGCAAGGAGCAUGGGGACUACGAGGAGACUACUAGAAAAAUAAUAUGGGAGGAAGAUGACUCAUGAAGAGUUCUUCAUGGAGACUCACUUCCGGAAGAAAAAGGCACCGACAGAUCCAUCUAGAUGGGUCGAGGAUCGAGCAAAGACUGCAUAUGGUCACUAGAAGGCUAAUGUAGAGGAGUACACUCAAAGCUUGCCACUAAAUGAGCAAGACGAGCGACCACCCAUUUCAGACGAAGAAACGUAGAAGAUAUAAUUGGAUGUUGUCGGUGGUCCUAUAAAGGGGAUAGCAUACGGCCUUCCAGAGAGAUCAUUUCGGCACUACAGGGUUGGAUUACAAGGUAUAGGGACUUUUGCCUAGGGCGAGGCAAUUGAUACACUACUAGAAAUCCGGGCAAAAUCGUCCAAAAAAAUGACCAAAAUUGGUCGGUAAUGGCCAAUAAUUGUCCAAAAUGCGACCAUUUACGUGUGGACGGUAUUUUAAAGGUCGGAAGGGCAUACUGAUCAAAGUUGGUUGGAAAUUACCCACCAACUUUGGUCGGUCAAUUAAAUUCAAUAAAAAAAAUAUU
This is a non-coding RNA of Nicotiana tabacum (common tobacco), 1368 nucleotides long. The record is from RefSeq and is a predicted model, not a curated record. NCBI's taxonomy places the organism in Eukaryota, Viridiplantae, Streptophyta, Magnoliopsida, Solanales, Solanaceae.